AACUCAGAGGAAUGUUGAGUCGCACGGACUUUUAAUCCGUUGGUCACUGGUUCGAAUCCAGUACGGCCUACCA
This 73-nucleotide transfer RNA is filed under the name Burkholderia pseudomallei. RNAcentral describes it as "tRNA-Lys (TTT) (tRNA-Lys-TTT-2-1)". The stretch from base 9 to 70 matches the Rfam family "tRNA". From Rfam's summary of the family: Transfer RNA (tRNA) molecules are approximately 80 nucleotides in length. Their secondary structure includes four short double-helical elements and three loops (D, anti-codon, and T loops). Further hydrogen bonds mediate the characteristic L-shaped molecular structure. tRNAs have two regions of fundamental functional importance: the anti-codon, which is responsible for specific mRNA codon recognition, and the 3' end, to which the tRNAs corresponding amino acid is attached (by aminoacyl-tRNA synthetases). tRNAs cope with the degeneracy of the genetic code in two manners: having more than one tRNA (with a specific anti-codon) for a particular amino acid; and 'wobble' base-pairing, i.e. permitting non-standard base-pairing at the 3rd anti-codon position. Lineage: Bacteria; Pseudomonadati; Pseudomonadota; Betaproteobacteria; Burkholderiales; Burkholderiaceae. RNAcentral also lists the same sequence under 1 other name. The record is from RNAcentral.